Molecule: ribosomal RNA, 120 nt
Organism: Sinocyclocheilus grahami
Lineage: Eukaryota; Metazoa; Chordata; Actinopteri; Cypriniformes; Cyprinidae
Source: Ensembl
UUCUAUAUUUAUAUUUAUACCCUGUAGCCCAAGACUGGUUGCCCACUGAAGCUAAGCAGGGUUGAGCCUGGUCAGUACCUGGAAGGGAGACCUCCUGGAAAAAAUAGGUUGCUGUUGGAA